GACGAACGCUGGCGGCGUGCUUAACACAUGCAAGUCGAACGGAGCGAAUGAAAGCUUGCUUUUAUAAGCUUAGUGGCAAACGGGUGAGUAACACGUAGGCAACCUGCCGACAGGAUGGGGACAACAUUCCGAAAGGAAUGCUAAUACCGAAUGAAGCGGAGGAGAGGCAUCUCCCCUCCGUGAAAGAUGGCCUCUUUUUAUGCUAUCACCUGUCGAUGGGCCUGCGUCUGAUUAGCUGGUAGGUGAGGUAACGGCUCACCUAGGCGACGAUCAGUAGCCGGUCUGAGAGGAUGAACGGCCACAUUGGGACUGAGACACGGCCCAGACUCCUACGGGAGGCAGCAGUGGGGAAUCUUCCGCAAUGGGCGCAAGCCUGACGGAGCAACGCCGCGUGAGUGAAGAAGGUCUUCGGAUCGUAAAGCUCUGUUGAUGGGGACGAACGUGCCUAAUGCGAAUAGUUUUAGGCAANGACGG
This 474-nucleotide ribosomal RNA is filed under the name uncultured bacterium. Its description in RNAcentral is "bacterial SSU rRNA". It matches the Rfam family "Bacterial small subunit ribosomal RNA", at positions 28 to 475 of the family's 1533-position model. The record is from RNAcentral.